This 4006-nucleotide long non-coding RNA is filed under the name Cricetulus griseus (Chinese hamster). RNAcentral describes it as "lncRNA (ENSCGRG00015033185.1)". Lineage: Eukaryota; Metazoa; Chordata; Mammalia; Rodentia; Cricetidae. The record is from RNAcentral.
CAGAUUUCACAUAAUUGAUUCAUGGAUAACAGUACAUCAGCUAUAAAGACACAAACAGCUACACUCCUAAAUAAAAAAUAAUUCAGCUCACCGACGUCUAGAAGAGCUUGCUUGCCCAGUCACAGGAUUUUAAGAUUGGCUUCAGGGUGACCGUUGAAGGAGGCACGGAAAGUAAACAUACCAAUGCCACAGCCCAGCAGCUGAGAACUCUGGGAGGAGGCACAGGGUCGCAACCAUUCAUUUAUCUUCUAGGCUAUCCUGACAUCUGACAGCCAUUGACAUCCCGAGCAUUCCAGCACUUCAGACCCACGCCUAAGAGGAGAUAAAUAUAGGUCUCUGACACCUGAGAUGUAUGAAAUGAAAGCUAAUGUGAAAAAUCGCCCUCAUUUUGUGCCUCAGUUGAGGUAAAUAAAACCCUUAAUCCUCUUCCUGCUGAAACUUUGUCUACAUCUGGCAUGCCAAAUAUUUCUGUCAAGACCGCUGUGUUUCUCCAAGAAUGUCAACAUCAUGCUCACAUGCCAGCUGUGGAUGUUUGAAAGAAAGUGGACCCCCAAAGCAGUGAUGCUGUUAGGAGGUAUGGCCUUAUUGGAGAAGGUGUGGUCUUAUUGGAGGAAGUGAGUCACUGUGGAUCCAGGCUUUAAGGUCUCUUUUGCUCAAGCAUCCCUCAGUGUGACUUUCAGCCAACAUCCUGUAGCACUCUCAGCUCCAGCAACACAUCUGCCUGAAUGCUGCAAUGCUCCAAUUAAUCAUAAAGGACUGAACUUUUGAAACUUUCCAUCCAUUUGAACUGAACUGGAAUCCAGUUGCAGAGAAGGAGGAGUGAUGAGCAAAGGGGUCAAGACCAGGCUGGUGAAACCACAGAAACAGCUGACCUGAACAAGGAGGAGCUCAUGGUCUCCAUACUGAUAGCUGGGAAACCAGCCUGGCACUGAUCCAGAACCCCUGAAUAUGGGUGUCAGUGAGGAGGCCUCGGAAAUCAAUGGGAGCCCAUCCCACAUGAAGGGAUACUCCCUCAGCCUAGACACACAGGGGAGGGCCUAGGCCCUAUCCCAAAGGAUAUGACAGACUCUGAAACCCCCCUCAUGGAAGGCAUCACCCUCCCUAAGGAGCAGAAAGGGUAUGGGAUAAGUAGGAUGUUGGGGGGGAGGGGAAGUGGGGAAGGAGAGGGAACUGGGAUUGACAUGUAAAACAAUCUUGUUUCUAAUUUAAAUUAAAAAAUGGAAAAGAACAAUGUUGACUCUAUUUCCUUUGAAAAAUAUUGCCUAGUUUUGAAGAAAUUGUGCUAUUUUAAGACCUAAUGUUUUCAAAGUAAAAGGAAAUAAAAAAUGUUGAUUCCACUAUUUAGAAAGGCACAGUAGCUUCGUGUAAUUUAAAUUUAAAUUUUGGUAGUUAAAAAUAAUAAAUAUUCUUGAGGUAUAAACCAAAAUAAUGUUCAGAAUUAUACUUAAAAAUACAAAAUAUAAUGAAGACAAAGCAAACAGAGAAUUACACUGUCACACUGGAGAUACUUGAAUGAAAAAGACAGAGAGAAGACUGAAUAAUCCUGUGACAAUAGCUGAGGAGAUGCAUUCAUUUAUUCUUUCAUUGCUGUCUCUAUUCUCAGUGAGUCAGUUCAAAAGCAAAUUCAGGUAUCCUAGGGAGUUUUGUAUUUCGAGCACUCUUGGAAAGACUAGGACAAAAUAUAUUUUUAAGCUACGGACAUCCCAUGCUCAGGAGGAUUUUCCAGGUAAGUUUCCUUUCUGUUUUUUGUUUGUUUGUUUUCAUUUUCAAGGUGUGUGUGUGUGUGUGUGUGUGUGUGUGUGUGUGUGUGUGUGUGUGUGUGGUUUCUUUUCUACCUUGUUUUGAGACAAGGUUUCUUGGUAGUCAUCGUUGCAUAGGUUGUGAGCUUUUGGAGAUUCUUCUGUUUCCUCUUCCCAGCUUGGCACAAGAAUGCUGCGGUUAUUUAUGUGUGUUACCAAGUUCAGCUUUUCUUGGGUUCUAGGAGUAUGAACUUAGAUCUUCCAGCUUGCAAGGCGAGCAUUUUAUGCACUCAGCCUUCCUCAUCACCCUUGUGUUUUUUUAUGAUAUGACACAAUUAUGCCACUCUUUGGCAUGUGUCCAAAGGACUUAAGUUCCUAUUCCACAGAUAACUGCUCAGCUAUGUUCAUUGCUUUUUUAGUCACAAAACUAGGAAACAAAAGAAACCUAAAUGUUCUUGACCAGAUGAACAAACAGUGAAAAAUAUGAUUCAUGUACACAAUGUAAUACUAUUCCGUUGCAGAAAAAUGAAAUUUGUAGGCAAUGAAUAGAAAAUAUUAUGGAGUAAUGGAGCAAGAAGAUAAAACCACACGUUCUCUCUCAUCUCUGGGUGCUAUCUCUGGAUAAUCAAAUGUGGGUGUAUAAACAACUGGAGUAAAAAUAGAAACAAGAAAAAGUGAGACAGGACCAGGGUGUGGAGGAAUGAAAGAGACAGGCAUAGAAGGACACAGAAAUUGAUAAGGAUUAUUGCACCAUGUGCUGCACUGUGUAAAUUUUCUCCUUUAUUAAGUGUUGCCCAGAAUUCUGCCCUCUUCAUCUCAAAUACCAAGACACCCAUGAAUGAGAGUACCUAAAUUCACUCAGACUUCUAUGAAAAAUUACCACAACCAAGAGAUCUUGUAAAUGGAAAGAUGUAUUUCUCACAGUUCUGGAAGGUUGGAAUCACAAGGCUAGGCCCUAAUGCAUCUGCUGUGCCAAGUCCACCUGCCUAUUCUGUGGCCUUCUUGUGUUGUCCUCACAUUCUAGAAAGGGUAGGGUGUUUCUGUGGUUCCUUUAAUGAAAAAAAAAAAAAUUCCAUCCAGAGAGCUGUGUGCUAAUAACCUUAUCCCUUCUGGUUUCUCACUGCCCCCCCCCCAAUUGGGGAUUAGCUGUAACGAAAUCAGAAAGGAAGGCAACUGACUGAGCAAGAAAACCUGUUAUUUCAAAUAAAGUGAAAUUUUGGUACCUUAGUACAAUGUGACUUGUUCUGUUCAACUGAUAUAAAUUGCUACAAUUCUACUGCCACUAUUUUCAGGAGAAGAAUAUACACCCCUAAAUAAUGGCAGUAAGUCAGAAAUAUGUUGAGCAAUAAUGAAACAAUAAGUCCAUCAUUUAGCUGGAGGAAAAUGCCACACAAACUUUUUGUUGUUUUAUUCAUCAAAUUUAUUUUUUCACCAAAAAUGUUAAAUUGGAAAACUACAGUGGAAAACAGCUCUUCAUAAUGUCCCUUAGUCUUAUUCAUUUGAGCUUGGAUUUAAGGAUUUGAAAGAGAAAUAAUUCAGCAACAUACACUUGUCAGUCAAAGAAGCCACAAAGAGAAUAUAGAGAUCAUUUAGAGUGUCUAAGGAUUCAAAAGGGAGUUGUCCCUUUGAUCUUCCAUUAAUUUCAUUUUAGAGGACAAAAUGGGAGAAUUGACUGGUAAAAUGUUAGGAAGAGUUACCCAACUGGGAACACGUAAAGCAGUAAAAAUAAUUCCUGACAGAGGAAGCAGUUUACACAAAAUCAUGAAUUCCACACAUACAAAUGUCAUAACUGUGGGUCUAAGAGACUGAAGACUGGACUGGAGAUGAGGUACAAUGAAGAGAAAUGAAAGGAUAGGAAACACAAAGCCCUGUGUAUUUCAGAACCACACCAACCACUGUUUCUGCAUAGCAAGUCAACUGAACAUUUUGAUGUCCAACAGAUUAGCGACACUGAAUACAUGAGCUUAUCUAACCCAGAACUAACAUAUUCUGAGCUUGCAUGAUUUAUUUUCUGUUUAUUAAUAUGACUUAUUUGGGAUAACAAUUACCACAUGCAAAUUACUAGGUGAAUUAUUCUUAAACACUCAAAUGUUGCUAGAUGAAUGGGGACAAUUGGCAAGGCCACUUUGGAAAAAAUGGAAAUGUAUAGCAAUCAUUGUGAACUUUUUAAAAAAUUUGGCCCUGUGAUUCUUGUUCAUGGUUCCAAAUAAUCAUAAAUUUUGUUUUACUUUGUCACUCUGAAUAUUUUUGCAUAUAUGUGAGCAGGU